Molecule: long non-coding RNA, 264 nt
Filed under: Ananas comosus (pineapple)
Lineage: Eukaryota; Viridiplantae; Streptophyta; Magnoliopsida; Poales; Bromeliaceae
Description: long non-coding RNA (ACOM_LNC028124)
Source: RNAcentral
CGCAAGUUUUUUCACGAUAACAAAUUUUUCAACAAGAAACACAAGAUCACGAGUGGAAUAACAAGAUACAAUCAACAAGAUAAAAAUAUCAAAAAAAACCCCGAGAAAUAUACAAAUAUGCACUAAAUUAAGUAUUAUAUAAUAUUAUACAAAGUCUAAGUUAUCUAAAUAAAAAAUAUACAAUCAGCCUCUCGAUCGUCCUCUCCCUCGAUGUCCUCGGCCACGUCCUCGUGCACGGCCACGUCCACGUCUACGGCCACCCUC